Molecule: long non-coding RNA, 5741 nt
Filed under: Lotus japonicus
Lineage: Eukaryota; Viridiplantae; Streptophyta; Magnoliopsida; Fabales; Fabaceae
Description: long non-coding RNA (LJAP_LNC002125)
Source: RNAcentral
UAGUAACGACUUUUAACUAGUAUUUUAGACUUUAGUUCGUACAAUAUAUACACGGGAAAAACAUUUGUUAUAAUAUGCUUAGCUAAUAUAAUUGUUUCUUGUCUUUGUGUUGUUUGUUGUUUUUAAAAAUCACACAGCUCAGUUUCUCUCCAGAUGAUACUUUACCAGAAAAAGAAGCUGUGGUCAUAGAGAACAAGGCACUCUCAGAGGCAGUGUUGGAGACGAUGAUUGGCGAGCACGCUGUUUCCCCUGAUUUGAAGCGUUGUUUGGCUGAAAGGUUGCCUGCUGUGCUGAACCAAGGUCUUCUCCUCAGUGGAAACUGAUGGAUCGGAAGGUUGAAAGUGCUGGCUGCUGCUACAAAAGAUUAACAAAUCCGAGCUUGUGUGUCAGUGUGUGAUCUUUUACCUUCCUAUCAAUAAAGUGAUCUAAGUGUUAUUGUUUUAUCGAUCACUCUUAUAUGAAAUGAAAACAGUGUUUUGUUUGUUCAAAACGAGGGCAAAAUAAUCACAAAAAUGAGGCCACUAAUAAGAUGAUAGAUAAACAUUAUUACCAAAUGUUAUUAAACUUGGAUUGUUCAUCGAUUCCUUAAGGAUACUAUGUUGGAUUGAACCGGUUAGAUGUAUAUAUAUAUAUAUAAAAUUAAGAAAUUAUAAUAGACGAUAAAUAAAAAUGACCAAUAUUAUUAAAUUUGAAAGGGUAAUCGACUCGGUCAUUGUAAAUUUAUACUAGACUAAAGGUAAAAAAAUAAAAAUAUUCAUAAUACACUUGCUCUCCCCAAACUGCGGGACACAACCUAUAGCGUUAGAGUAGGAUGUUGGUAUGAUGGCUUUAAAUCCAUACAUGUUUUUAUACUAUGUCUUGUUUUAAUAUUCUUUCUAAUGGCUUGUGUUCUCAAAUUGAAAAAUUGAAAGUAUUAAAAGCAUGUUCUAUUAGGGUAACGAGGUCUUGAUUUCCAGGUUGCACUUGUGGGGAAAAUUUGGUGAAGGAUCAUGUCUCGUCUAGUAUUAGAAUUCUUUCCUCUCUAUUUCAUACUGUAUUUUGGGGAACAAUUUACUUUUUCCUAGAGUCAGGUUCUAUUUGGAGCAAACUUUGAGUCGUGCUUGUGGACUUAAUUCAUCCCUCGUUGGUGGCGUCUUGGACUGGUCGAAAACUUCAUACUAUUCUUCUAGUGUAUAUAAAAAAUCUAUUUGAUAAAUCUUUUAUACUUAUAAAACAUUAAACAUGAUGGAUCAUGAUUAUUUGUUGAAUGACUUUUCAUUUCCUGUCUCGUCAAUAAAAUUACAUCGUGUUAAUUAAAAAUUAUUUAUGUAGGUUAUAAAUGUUAUAUUUAUAUAUUUUUUUAAUUGACAUAUCUUGAAUUUAUUGGUUAGGACAGAAAAUGAGACAUCAUUUAAUAAUAAAAUAUCUCAAUCCAAAACAUAACAUGAUACAAGUGUAUAUGUAGUUAAUUUUAUGAUUAUGUUAUGUCUGAUAUGCAUCAAACAUGCAUACAUGAUAUAAUAUCUAUUGAACCCGGUGUGUGCUAAGGGCACAAGUUUCUAUAUAUAAUUUUAAAGUUAAUAAUAAAAUAAAAGGGGUGAAGUUAGAACCAUAAAUAUAGUAUGUGUCAUACAUAAUAUAAGUGGAAGAAAUAAAAAGUAUUCGGUGGUACAAUGAGAUAACGGUAAAUUUUACCUUGCAUGGCUCAAAUAGGAUUGUUUAAUGGAUGACAUAUAUAUUGUGGUAUAAGCAAAAUUAUUUCAAAAGCCAUCAAUUAAAGUAGAAAUAGUGAAUAAGUAUCAAUAUGAAACGACAAAAAUAAAAGUAAGCAUGAAACAUACAAAUAGAAUAUUCAAUUGUAGAAUAGAAUUGAACUAGAAGCACCUCACCCCUCUCUAUAUAAACCCUUCUCUACUUGAAUCAUUUCAAGCCACAUCAAAAACCAACCACAUCCUUAAGAAAGUGUGUUGUUGAGUAUUGUGGUCUGAGUGAGGGACUAUGGCACCAGCAAAAGGAUCAUCCCUCACCCCAAUCCAGGUGGAGAACCUUCAAUUUCCUGCGUCUGUCACCUCUCCAGCCACCGCCAAGUCUUAUUUCCUCGGUGGUGCAGGUAAUUCUAAUUAAUUAGUUCUAAUAAAUUCCUUGCUUAUAAUUGUCUAUUAUCAUAAAUACUUAAUUAUUUAUUCAAAGUGACAUAAUAUGUACAUGUUGAUUAAUUGUUGGUUUUUGAAUUAAUGUGUAGGGGAGAGAGGGUUGACGAUUGAGGGGAAGUUCAUAAAAUUCACUGGCAUAGGAGUGUAUUUGGAAGAUACAGCAGUGGAUUCACUCGCCACCAAGUGGAAGGGUAAGAGCUCACAAGAGUUGCAGGACUCCCUUGACUUCUUCAGAGACAUCAUUUCAAGUAUGAAUUCUUCACUCCCUCUCUCUACUUUUGUUGUUUAGCUCUUUUGAUGGUUUUUUUUUUAAAAUAAACUAAAGAAUUAUAUUCAAACUAGCAUAAUAGAUGCUAAACCCGAAUAUAAGAAAAAGAAAAUACAAACUGAAAGGAAGCAACCAGUUAUAGAAAGAAUUAAUUUUAUCAUAUUUUUUACCGUGUAUCCGAACAUAUACACGUAAAUUAACUUACAUAAUGAAUAUGAGUAGCUUUGACUUGUCGUCAACUAGAAGAGCACGAGUCCUAGUUGGUGUAAAAGUCCUAGCUACUUGGUCUCAACAUACAUGCAUGCACUUGCUUUUCCAAAAGUAUGAUUAUCACCAAAAGUUUCAACUAAUUCAUUCUUUGUAGUAAUAAAGUAGAAUUAAAUUUCAUGUUUGAAGGUUUUAAAAUAUGAAUAAUUGUUUAGAAACUAAUUGUUUAAUUUAAUUUGCAGGUCCCUCUGAGAAGUUAAUUCGAGGGUCCAAGCUGAGGCCAUUGAGUGGCGUGGAGUAUUCAAGAAAGGUGAUGGAGAAUUGUGUGGCACACAUGAAGUCUGCUGGAACUUAUGGUGAAGCAGAGGCCACAGCCAUUGAAAAAUUUGCAGAAGCCUUCAGGAAGGUGGAUUUUCCACCAGGUUCCUCUGUUUUCUACCGACAAUCAACAGAUGGAAAAUUAGGGGUUAGUAUAUACCGCGAGUCUUGUUUCUUAUUGAAUUUUAACUAGUAUUUUAACCCGUGCUAUGCAGAGAGAAAACAUUUUAUUAAAGUUUAGAUUGUUAUGAUUAACUAAUAUAAUGUUUCUUCUUUGUGUUGUUGUUUUUGAAAACCACACAGCUUAGUUUCUCUUUGGAUGACACGAUACCAGAAGAAGAGGCUGUAGUUAUAGAGAACAAGGCACUCUCAGAGGCAGUGUUAGAGACCAUGAUUGGCGAGCAUGCUGUUUCCCCUGAUUUGAAGCGUUGUUUGGCUGAAAGGUUGCCUAUUGUGAUGAACCAGGGUCUUCUCCUCACUGGAAACUGACAAGAUUGAAAAGUUUUGGCUGCUGCAAAAGAUAAAGAACUUAAGCUUUUUGAAAUAUCGAAGCUUAAUUUGUUUGUGUAUCUUUUACCUUCCUAUCAAUAAAGUGAUCAAAGUGUGCUAUAUUUUCUACUCUUCUGUGUUUCUAUUGUUUUAUCACUGAAAUGACAUGAAAACAUUGGGUUCAAAAAGAGGCUAAUGGCAAAAUAAUGACAAAAAGAGGCUAAUUAAAAGAUGGUAAAUAACACUACCUGUUAAACUUGGACGGCUUAUGGAUUCGAUCAUGAUGCUAGAAUAAUUGAUUGAACCAAAUCGAUAAUUUUUUAGUGUGAUAAGUCUCACAUUGAUUAAUAAUAAAUUAAUUAAGGAUAGUACAAAGUGUGAAAAUUCAUACGCUUACUGCCUUAAGAUUUUGAUUAAAAUAGGGUGUGGAAUCAUUAUUUUCAUCAAGACAAUAAAUAACACAUAAUAAAUAUUAAAUUUUGACCGUUUGUCAACUCCGUGUAACAUAAUUAAAACUAGACACAAACUCUCUGUCAUAAGUAAAAUCCUCCUUAAUUAGUGCGAGUCUAUUAUAGAUAAUAUAGCUUAAUAAGUACACAAUCCGUCAAGUUCUUAAGCCUAAUUAGCUUAGAGAAUUUGUAAGUAAAAUCUUCCUUUAGGCUAGACUAUCAUAAAUAAUAGCUCAAUAAGUACACACCACUUCAAGUCGUAAGCGGUAGCUUAGUUUGUACGUAAGGUUCUUCUUUCCUUUAGACUUUUGUAGACGAUAUGUAUUCGAUAAGUAUUAGAACUGUCCACCGGUCAGAUUUGAGUUAAGGUAGUCAAUUUUAGAACACUAUACUCACAGCCGACCAAUUAAUUGAUGCAAGUUAUUUGUAUUGAAUUUGCACGUACGGAUCACAAUUUUAGUGGGUGGAUCGGAUUAGUAGUGAUUUUUAGUAGUUCGGUGGGUAUAUCAUUUAUUGAUCAACUAUGAAAAAUGAGACCAAUAAAGAGGAUAUGAAAAUUAUUACCUAUUCAAUUUGUAGGGCCCUUUGAAAAAAUAAUGAUGGAGAUAGAUGAUCCAAGAUACGGUUAUUGACCGGCAUGGGUACUGAAGAAAUCAAGGACAUGCGGGGACUGUGUUGUGUGGCACUGCAGACACAUGCAUGAAGUCCAGUCCAGCCUUCUAGAAACUGAAUUUAAUCUCCACAUGAUCGAUGCUCUGCUCUCUUCAGAUGCCGUGAUCAAAUAUUAAUACUCCAUUAUUAGUUAGUACUUCAUUCGCUUUUAAUAAAAAAAAUUAGAAAAAUACAUAUAUAUAUAUAAUAUAUCUGGGAAUUUUUUUUAGCAUACACCGAAAAAAUAGGAAGUGGAUAUUCAUGUAUGCUGCCAUGGAUACUCAUUCAAUGAGUCAGCAAAUUAGGCAUUUAAUAUGAAUAAUUAAGAUCCGGCCAUUGACUGGUUUGGUGUGGGGACUGAUUGAUCAAGAAUUUGGGACCUACUGAAGCCGCCAGCGGCCAGUGAUGGAAGAUAUAUUUUAAUUUGCUGAAUUUUCUACCACGUGCUUGCUUCUGUUUUCUUUUCUAUGCCCAAAUGCAAUGCAAUCACCCCACCUCACCUUUGGAAUUUCUAUAUGUCAAUAAAUGUCAUAUGACUAAUAGUACAUAUGUCAUCAUCAGAAGCAGUGUUGGACAACAUGCAUUGCCAAGCAGUCUGACUGUUUCCCCUAAUUUGAAAAGUUGUUUGGCUAUGCAAGUUCUUCUCAUCAAUGGAAACUCAGAAUCACAACAUAUGGGUUAAAUUGAAAGUUACUACUACUACACAACAUAAAGAACUUUUACACUCUGUUUGGUUGAGAAGAGAGAGAUAGAGAAGAGAGAAGUUGAGUAGAGAGAAAUAGGUGAGAAAUAGAGUGGAUUUAUUGAUUGUUUGAUAUGGUAGAGAUGAAAGAGAGAUAUGAGAAAAAGAAUGAGGUGGAUAAUAUAAAUUAAAAAGCUAAAAAAAUUAAUUUUUAGAAAAAGACUAUGUUGUCCAACAAAAGUAAAAAAAUUACAACUUCCAAUGGGCCUUGGAGAGAGAGUAGACAAGGACAAAAUAGGAAACAAAAAAGUAAUCAUCAUCCACAUGCUAUCUCUUCUCAAAUUGGAGAGAGGAAAAAAAGGCGUGGGGCCCGCGCAAAAAACUCUCUUUUCACAGUUGUCGGACAGAACCAAACGAGGAUGGAGAUAAAAUCUCUUACCAAUCUCUCUCUCUUGUAUCUCUCUCUCACCAAAUUCACCUCUACCAAACACUGCGUUAAGGUUUCUUUUGUGUGUAUCUUUUUACCUUCCUAUCAAUAAAGUGAU